AACGCACGAGACCUGCGGACCUGCGGAAGGAUCAUUAGUGAACGCCCUCACGGGCUUAUAACCAUUCCAAACCUCUGUGAACCGUGCCCUUCGGGGCUAUUUUACAAACAUGGUGUAAUGAACGUCAUAUAUCAUAACAAAACAAAACUUUCAACAAUGGAUCUCU
This 166-nucleotide unclassified non-coding RNA is filed under the name soil metagenome. RNAcentral describes it as "partial contains 5.8S ribosomal RNA, internal transcribed spacer 2, and large subunit ribosomal RNA". The record is from RNAcentral.